RNAcentral lists this ribosomal RNA (254 nucleotides) under uncultured bacterium. RNAcentral describes it as "partial 16S ribosomal RNA". It matches the Rfam family "Bacterial small subunit ribosomal RNA", at positions 524 to 776 of the family's 1533-position model. The record is from RNAcentral.
UACGGGGGGAGCAAGCGUUGUUCGGAUUUACUGGGCGUAAAGGGCGCGUAGGCGGCCACCGCAAGUCGACUGUGAAAUCUCCGGGCUUAACUCGGAAAGGUCAGCCGAUACUGCGGGGCUAGAGUGCAGAAGGGGCAACUGGAAUUCUCGGUGUAGCGGUGAAAUGCGUAGAUAUCGGGAGGAACACCUGUGGCGAAAGCGGCGCACUGGACCAUAACUGACGCUGAGGCGCGAAAGCUAGGGGAGCAAACAGG